RNAcentral lists this ribosomal RNA (1196 nucleotides) under Dermacentor albipictus. Its description in RNAcentral is "16S ribosomal RNA". The record is from RNAcentral. Lineage: Eukaryota; Metazoa; Arthropoda; Arachnida; Ixodida; Ixodidae.
UUUAAAAAUUAUACUUUUUAUUUAAGAUAAUUGUUUAUAAAAAGAUUAUGAUAAUGUUAUUUGUUACUGCAAAGGAAUUUAAUUUAAAAAUUUAAAAGUAAAUUUUAUGUACCUUUUGCAUAAGGGAUUUUCUAUAAAAAUUAAACAUUUAUUUUUCUCGAAAUAAAUUGAUCUAAAAUUAAUAUAUAAUUUAUAUUUCAUUAUAAAUUUUAAAUUUAUUUUAGAUGUGAAAUGCUUGUCAAAAUUUAAGAUAACUAGUUUAUUAAAAAAAAUUUUAUAUUAACCUAUAAUAAUUUUUUUAAUUAACAUUUUUAUAGGUUAAAAUCUUAGGGAUAAGCUAAAGGUUAAAAUUUUUAAAAAUUAAAAACUUUAAGAAAAAUAGAAGAAAUAUAAUUGUUCUUUGUACUGUUAUAAGUAAAUUUAAGUAAUUGUUUAAAGUUAAUUUAUUUUUAAUAAAAUAAAAAAUAAUGUUUAUUUUAAAAAAUGAAAAUAUUAGUAAAAUUAUUUUCUAACUUAGAAAAAUUAAUUUUAAUAUAAUUUAUAAAUUAAAAUAAGUUUUAAUAAUUCGGCAAAAUUUUUCUUUGACUGUUUAAUAAAAACAACUUAUUCAGAUAAAUACAUUUUAUUGAAUAUAAAUCCUGCUCAAUGAAAUUUUUAAAUUGCUGUAGUAUUUUGACUAUACAAAGGUAUUGUAAUAAGAUUUUAAUUGAAUACUAAGAGAAUGGAAUUACAAGGAAUAACUAUUUUAAACUUAAAAAUUAAAGUUAUUUUAAUUUGUGAAGAAACAAUUAUUAAAAUUAAGGACAAGAAGACCCUAAGAAUUUUAAAAUCAAUAAGUUUUUAUAAAAAAAUUAUUGAUUUUUAGUUGGGGCAACUAAAAAAUAUUAUCAACUUUUUUUUAAUAAAAUGAUCCAUUAUUAAUGAUUAUUUGGAAAAAUACUCUAGGGAUAACAGCGUAAUAAUUUUUGAUAGAACAUAUAGACAAAAUAGUUUGCGACCUCGAUGUUGGAUUAGGAUUCUUUUUUAAUGAAGAUGUUAAAAAAAGAAGUUUGUUCAACUUUUAAAGUCCUACAUGAUCUGAGUUUAGACCGAUGAGAAUCAGGUUGGUUUCUAUCUUAAUUGAAAUAAAUUUUUUGAUUAGUACGAAAGGAAUUUCAAAAUUUAAUUUAUUUAAUAUAACAAUAAUUUUAUUUGCA